GAUUUCUGGCGAACCGUUGCGGCCCGUGGUCGUUUCGGCCGUGUGUGCCGUGUCGUGUUUGUCAUCCUUCCAGAAAGCUGCGUCUACCAUUUACUUGGCCGGACGUACGUGAUCUGGAUCGAUUACUUUGAAAAAAUUAGAGUGUUUAAAGCAGGCUUAUGCUGUGAAUACAUUAGCAUGGAAUAAUAAUUUAGGACUUCGGUUCUAUUUUGUUGGUUUCUAGGACUGAAGUAAUGAUUGAUAGGGAUAGUUGGGGGUGCUAGUAUUCAGUGGCCAGAGGUGAAAUUCUUGGAUUCACUGAAGACUAACUACUGCGAAAGCAUU
RNAcentral lists this ribosomal RNA (324 nucleotides) under uncultured Trinematidae. RNAcentral describes it as "SSU rRNA". The stretch from base 51 to 324 matches the Rfam family "Eukaryotic small subunit ribosomal RNA", at positions 680 to 955 of the family's 1831-position model. The record is from RNAcentral. Lineage: Eukaryota; Cercozoa; Imbricatea; Euglyphida; Trinematidae.